CCUACGGGGUGCAGCAGUAGGGAAUCUUUCACAAUGGGCGAAAGCCUGAUGGCGCAACGCCGCGUGCAGGAUGAAGGCCUUCGGGUUGUAAACUGCUUUUAUAAGCGAGAAAUAUGAUGGUAACUUAUGAAUAAGGAUCGGCUAACUACGUGCCAGCAGCCGCGGUCAUACGUAGGAUCCGAGCAUUAUCCGGAGUGACUGGGGGUAAAUAGUUGCUUAGGUGGCAUAAUAAGUAGCUAGUGAAAUCUGGUGGCUCAACCAUUCAGAGUAUUAGUUAAACUGUUAGGCUUGAGACCGUUAGGGGUAACUGGAAGUUCUAGUGUAGGAGUGAAAUCCGUAGAUAUUAGAAGGAACACCAAUAGCGUAGGCAGGUUGCUGGGACGGUUCUGACACUAAGGCACGAAAGCGUAGGGAGCAAACGGGAUUAGAUACCCCAGUAGUC
RNAcentral lists this ribosomal RNA (442 nucleotides) under uncultured bacterium. Its description in RNAcentral is "partial 16S ribosomal RNA". It matches the Rfam family "Bacterial small subunit ribosomal RNA", at positions 338 to 795 of the family's 1533-position model. The record is from RNAcentral.